Molecule: non-coding RNA, 1280 nt
Organism: Paramormyrops kingsleyae
Lineage: Eukaryota; Metazoa; Chordata; Actinopteri; Osteoglossiformes; Mormyridae
Source: RefSeq, a predicted model, not a curated record
GAAUUGAAUAAAGGUUUGAGCAUGUGCUCGCCACUCAAAACAAGCAACUAGUACACUCACAAUACGUAGAUGACAAUCACGUCACAUUGUAAUUCAACAGAUAUAAACAUCGCUAGCUUAAUACAUUUCAACAAGUGUUGCAACCAUCACUCCUUUCGUAUACAAUUAGCAAUUACUUGUAAAUUUGUGCAAGUGAACAUUAUAAUGAUAAAGUAUAGCACAUGUAUACACAUUUUUAUUCUUAGCAAACAGUCUUUCUCUCAAAUGAUUUGCUAUUACAUAACUUACUGCUUAACUAUUACGUAAAUUUAAACAAACCUCAAACACCUAAGGCAGAAUGCAAAACAUUAAGUAUAAGUCUGCAUUUGAUAAAGCAUUUUCAUAGAAUCGGCCAGCAUUUGGGUCGUGGGGUUGCAAAAUAGGCCCGUUUGGGUCCUGGUUUGCCAAUACUGGCUAUAUAAGUAUACAUUAAACAAAAGCGGCAAAUGAUGAUAGAUAUGCGUGUUCUACUUCAAGAAGAGGUAUAAUUGUGUUGCUUUGCAUUGACUGGAAUACGCCAGAGGACUUUGUUACAUUGUAUCUUUAUAAUUUCAAUGAAAAUUGAAAUUAUAAAUGGAACAUUGAUGGGUUUAAACUCGUAUUUGUAAAAAUGCAUGAAAUCCCCCAUUUUUAUGGUGUUGUGAAUAUGAAGCAAUAUUUUCUUUGCUAAUUUAAUAAUAAUUAUUAUUUUUAUACAGGACGCCGUCAAUAUAAGUCUCAUAUAUUCAACCUACAUAUAUGAUCAAAGUACAAAUCGCAGGUUUAAUGUUCUCUUGAAAAUCAAUGACCACUGAAAAAGCAGAAGAACGUCGAGUCCCAAAUUCCGUUGCUUGUACUCCGCACUCUGUACUGGAAGCUUGCAUUGUGCAAUACAGCACAUUUCUGAACCGAUACACGACUGGAAUUAACCUCUCUAGCAGAAGACGACUCCACGGUAUACUCGGGUCCUCCAGUUUUAGGCGGCUCUCCGAGAUGUCCAAGCAGCGGCUCUAGCUUCACCUGCCCCUGUCCAGUUAUGGAUUCCGGUCUCGAGGCAGGAUCCAGCCAAGUGCUAAGCUCUUCCAGGUUCAGCGCUAUCUCAGCAAUGACAUCAUCGACCCAAGCACUGUUAGAGAAUUCAUUGCCAAGAAACACCAACGCCGGAAAUGAGCACGACCAGCAACAUCUACAAGACGAUCUCUAGGGUCGCAGGGGGUCCAGAGUCUUUACCGGAAACUACAGGCACAAGGUGGGGAAUAACG